RNAcentral lists this ribosomal RNA (433 nucleotides) under uncultured bacterium. RNAcentral describes it as "partial 16S ribosomal RNA". It matches the Rfam family "Bacterial small subunit ribosomal RNA", at positions 29 to 507 of the family's 1533-position model. The record is from RNAcentral.
AACGAACGCUGGCGGCAUGCCUAACACAUGCAAGUCGAACGAGACCUUCGGGCCUAGGGGCGCACGGGUGCGUAAGGCGUGGGAACCUGCACUUAGGUUCGGAAUAACUCCCCGAAAGGGGUGCUAAUACCGGAUAAUGUCUUCGGACCAAAGAUCUAUGGCCGUUGGGUGGGCCCGUGUUAGAUUAGCUGGUUGGUAGGGUAAAAGCCUACCAAGGCGACGAUGCAUAGCUGGUCUGGGAGGAUGCCCAGCCACACUGGGACUGCGACACGGCCCAGACUCCUACGGGAGGCAGCAGUGGGGAAUAUUGGACAAUGGGCGCUAGCCUGACCCAGCAAUGUCGCGUGAGUGAGGAAGGGGUUAGGGUUCUAAAGCUCUUUUACCCGAGGCGAUAAUGACGGUACCGGGUGAAUAAGCUCCGGCUAACUCCGUG